GGACUUUUGGGCCUUCUUGAUCACAUGAGCUAAUUGCUAACUCUCAUAGUCUCUCUUUCUCUCUCUCUCCCUCCCUGUCCUACUUAAUAUCCAAAGUCUCCUAUUAGUCUCCUGGUGUUUUUCCCGGAGGACCCUGACUAACACAAGGUUUCUUGUUAGCCUGGUGAAGUACUCAUCAAACUACAGUCACCCAGGAUGUUGGAAUUACCAGCCAGCAUGGGGCAUGUCAGAAAGAAGGACUCAAGAACUCUCAGAUUUUGAUCACUCAGGAGAACUCUUCCCUUAACCCGGCUAAUAUUCCAAAUUUAUAUCUUUCUCUUUCCCCUAUAUGCCAAACUUCUAUGAGGAGAAAUAGCACAGCCACUUUUAUAGAAUGUCACUACGUGUCUGGCUCUGGGCUAAACAAUUAAAAUAGAUGGUCUCAUCCAUUUCUCAUAACACUCACAUACUAUGGAUAUUAAUUUAAUUGAAUAUAUGAAAGAAUAAGGCUGGGUUGAUUAACAUUUUUCCCAAGGACACACACUAUAUGCGGAAAUCUGGAUCCAGAGCGCUUAACCAGUAAGGCCCCCCAUCGUCAUUAUCUUCAUGACCAG
RNAcentral lists this long non-coding RNA (593 nucleotides) under Chinchilla lanigera (long-tailed chinchilla). RNAcentral's name for it is "lncRNA (ENSCLAG00000022561.1)". Lineage: Eukaryota; Metazoa; Chordata; Mammalia; Rodentia; Chinchillidae. The record is from RNAcentral.